Clupea harengus (Atlantic herring) is the source of this 357-nucleotide long non-coding RNA. RefSeq lists it as uncharacterized. Lineage: Eukaryota; Metazoa; Chordata; Actinopteri; Clupeiformes; Clupeidae. The record is from RefSeq and is a predicted model, not a curated record. The transcript has 3 exons.
CCAGGUAAAGGAUCUCUUUACAGACUGUGUAUGUGCUGGAAUGCCAAACCAUGGAAACGGUAUGACUGGUAUCUCAUGUUGUAGUGCUACUAAUUCAGUAUAUGGAAACAAAGCGGUUUGGAUAAGCUACAACCAUUGUGUCUACACUGUGUUUUUCCUCAUCAUCAGGUAUGGACAUGCACUUGCUAUGGCUGGCGACAUAGCCUUUUUGUUUGGUGGAGCCACCUCAGUCAGUAAUGAGGAGACCAAUCCAACAUACCUGAGAGAUUUUCACAUGCUAACAGUCUCACUCACAUAUGUAACAUGGGAAGCUUUGCCCCAAAGCGGUGCAGUACCUUCAGCCAGGGAAGGACAUAG